Molecule: non-coding RNA, 29 nt
Filed under: Mus musculus (house mouse)
Lineage: Eukaryota; Metazoa; Chordata; Mammalia; Rodentia; Muridae
Source: RNAcentral
UCCACGGUAAUAUCUACACUGGGAAGGUA